AAUGAUGGCGGUGCAGGCAUUUCCUGAGGAUUAAUGACCAGCUGGGAGGAACCAGUGGCCCUUGGCCCUGCCUCCCAGCCAGCCAUUAAGUCCAAGGAAAUGUCUUUUGCUGAGGUCGUU
Molecule: microRNA precursor, 120 nt
Filed under: Sus scrofa (pig)
Lineage: Eukaryota; Metazoa; Chordata; Mammalia; Artiodactyla; Suidae
Description: mir-763 microRNA precursor family
Rfam family: mir-763 microRNA precursor family
Source: Rfam by way of RNAcentral